GUCUUCGUAGUGUAACGGUAAUACAGUCGGCGCGUAUAUUCGAGAGGUCCAGGUUCGAUUCCUAGCGAGGACA
RNAcentral lists this transfer RNA (73 nucleotides) under Stegodyphus mimosarum. It matches the Rfam family "tRNA". From Rfam's summary of the family: Transfer RNA (tRNA) molecules are approximately 80 nucleotides in length. Their secondary structure includes four short double-helical elements and three loops (D, anti-codon, and T loops). Lineage: Eukaryota; Metazoa; Arthropoda; Arachnida; Araneae; Eresidae. The record is from Rfam by way of RNAcentral.